AUACUCUGGUUUCUCUUCAGAUCACAUAAAUCUUUCGCCUUUUACUAAAGAUUUCCGUAGAGAGGAACGUCCAAGAGUUCUGAAGGAAUUUUUUGAGGUCCCGCUUCUGUGGGGAAA
This 117-nucleotide small nuclear RNA is filed under the name Pogona vitticeps (central bearded dragon). Its description in RNAcentral is "U5 spliceosomal RNA (ENSPVIG00000002781.1)". It matches the Rfam family "U5 spliceosomal RNA". From Rfam's summary of the family: U5 RNA is a component of both types of known spliceosome. The precise function of this molecule is unknown, though it is known that the 5' loop is required for splice site selection and p220 binding, and that both the 3' stem-loop and the Sm site are important for Sm protein binding and cap methylation. The record is from Rfam by way of RNAcentral. Lineage: Eukaryota; Metazoa; Chordata; Lepidosauria; Squamata; Agamidae.